UCCAGGGUAGCCUAGUGGUCAUGGCAUCUGCCCGGUAAGCGGAAGGUUGUGGGUUCGAUUCCCAUCCCUUGAAA
RNAcentral lists this transfer RNA (74 nucleotides) under Cordylochernes scorpioides. Its description in RNAcentral is "tRNA-Thr". It matches the Rfam family "tRNA". From Rfam's summary of the family: Transfer RNA (tRNA) molecules are approximately 80 nucleotides in length. Their secondary structure includes four short double-helical elements and three loops (D, anti-codon, and T loops). Lineage: Eukaryota; Metazoa; Arthropoda; Arachnida; Pseudoscorpiones; Chernetidae. The record is from RNAcentral.